GCAGUGGUGGCUUAGUGGUAGAAUCCUUGUCUUCCAUACAGGGGAUCUGGGUUUUGGUUCCCAGCCAAUGCA
Molecule: transfer RNA, 72 nt
Filed under: Loxodonta africana (African savanna elephant)
Lineage: Eukaryota; Metazoa; Chordata; Mammalia; Proboscidea; Elephantidae
Rfam family: tRNA
About the family: Transfer RNA (tRNA) molecules are approximately 80 nucleotides in length.
Source: Rfam by way of RNAcentral